Molecule: ribosomal RNA, 460 nt
Filed under: uncultured bacterium
Lineage: Bacteria
Description: partial 16S ribosomal RNA
Rfam family: Bacterial small subunit ribosomal RNA
Source: RNAcentral
CCUACGGGAGGCAGCAGUGAGGAAUAUUGGUCAAUGGACGGAAGUCUGAACCAGCCAUGUCGCGUGCAGGAAGACGGCUCUAUGAGUUGUAAACUGCUUUUGUACAAGGGUAAACCUGAAUACGUGUAUUCAGCUGAAAGUACUGUACGAAUAAGGAUCGGCUAACUCCGUGCCAGCAGCCGCGGUAAUACGGAGGAUCCAAGCGUUAUCCGGAUUUAUUGGGUUUAAAGGGUGCGUAGGCGGAUUGAUAAGUUAGCGGUGAAAUGUCCGAGCUUAACUCGGGAACUGCCUCUAAUACUGGUGAUCUAGAGAGUAGAUGCGGUAGGCGGAAUGUAUGGUGUAGCGGUGAAAUGCUUAGAUAUCAUACAGAACACCGAUUGCGAAGGCAGCUUACCAAUCUAUAUCUGACGUUGAGGCACGAAAGCGUGGGGAGCGAACAGGAUUAGAUACCCCGGUAGUC